RNAcentral lists this ribosomal RNA (515 nucleotides) under uncultured bacterium. RNAcentral's name for it is "partial 16S ribosomal RNA". It matches the Rfam family "Bacterial small subunit ribosomal RNA", at positions 28 to 523 of the family's 1533-position model. The record is from RNAcentral.
GAUGAACGCUGGCGGCGUGCCUAAUACAUGCAAGUCGAGCGAAUGGAUUAAGAGCUUGCUCUUAUGAAGUUAGCGGCGGGCGGGUGAGUAACACGUGGGUAACCUGCCCAUAAGACUGGGAUAACUCCGGGAAACCGGGGCUAAUACCGGAUAACAUUUUGAACCGCAUGGUUCGAAAUUGAAAGGCGGCUUCGGCUGUCACCUAUGGAUGGACCCGCGUCGCAUUAGCUAGUUGGUGAGGUAACGGCUCACCAAGGCAACGAUGCGUAGCCGACCUGAGAGGGUGAUCGGCCACACUGGGACUGAGACACGGCCCAGACUCCUACGGGAGGCAGCAGUAGGGAAUCUUCCGCAAUGGACGAAAGUCUGACGGAGCAACGCCGCGUGAGUGAUGAAGGCUUUCGGGUCGUAAAACUCUGUUGUUAGGGAAGAACAAGUGCUAGUUGAAUGAGCUGGCACCUUGACGGUACCUAACCAGAAAGCCACGGCUAACUACGUGCCAGCAGCCGCAGUAA